CGCGUAGGCGGUUUGUACAGUCAGACGUGAAAUUCCUGGGCUCAACCUGGGGGCUGCGUUUGAUACGUGCGAGCUUGAGUUCGGAAGAGGGUCGUGGAAUUCCCAGUGUAGAGGUGAAAUUCGUAGAUAUUGGGAAGAACACCGGUGGCGAAGGCGGCGACCUGGUCCGAUACUGACGCUGAGGCGCGAAAGCGUGGGGAGAAC
Molecule: ribosomal RNA, 204 nt
Filed under: uncultured bacterium
Lineage: Bacteria
Description: partial 16S ribosomal RNA
Rfam family: Bacterial small subunit ribosomal RNA
Source: RNAcentral